UACGAAGGGGGCUAGCGUUGCUCGGAAUUACUGGGCGUAAAGGGCGCGUAGGCGGACAGUUAAGUCAGAGGUGAAAGCCCAGGGCUCAACCUUGGAAUUGCCUUUGAUACUGGCUGUCUUGAGUGCGGGAGAGGUGUGUGGAACUCCGAGUGUAGAGGUGAAAUUCGUAGAUAUUCGGAAGAACACCAGUGGCGAAGGCGACACACUGGCCCGUAACUGACGCUGAGGCGCGAAAGCGUGGGGAGCAAACAGG
Molecule: ribosomal RNA, 253 nt
Filed under: uncultured bacterium
Lineage: Bacteria
Description: partial 16S ribosomal RNA
Rfam family: Bacterial small subunit ribosomal RNA
Source: RNAcentral